RNAcentral lists this ribosomal RNA (383 nucleotides) under uncultured eukaryote. RNAcentral describes it as "SSU rRNA". It matches the Rfam family "Eukaryotic small subunit ribosomal RNA", at positions 587 to 972 of the family's 1831-position model. The record is from RNAcentral.
AGCUCCACUAGCGUAUACCAAUUUUGCUGCAGUUGAAAAGCUCGUAGUCGGAUUUGUGCGACGAGUCGUCGGUUCCGUACUGUGUACGGAGACCAGAUGACCUCGUUGCAUCCUCGGGUGGAACCUGUGUGGCAUUAAGUUGUCGUGCAGGGGAUUCCCGUCUUUUACUGUGAAUAAAUUAGAGUGUUCAAAGCAGGCUUACGCCGUUGAAUAUGCUAGCAUGGAAUAAUAAGAUAGGACUUCGGGUCUAUUUUGUUGGUUUGCGUACCGAAGUAAUGAUUAAUAGGGACAGUUGGGGGCAUUCGUAUUCCAUUGUCAGAGGUGAAAUUCUUGGAUUUUUGGAAGACGAACUACUGCGAAAGCAUUUGCCAAGGAUGUUUUCA